GACUCCGUAGCUCAGCUGGAUAGAGCGUUUGGCUACGAACCAAAAGGUCGAGUGUUCGAAUCACUCCGGGGCCA
This is a transfer RNA of Acidaminococcus fermentans DSM 20731, 74 nucleotides long. It matches the Rfam family "tRNA". From Rfam's summary of the family: Transfer RNA (tRNA) molecules are approximately 80 nucleotides in length. Their secondary structure includes four short double-helical elements and three loops (D, anti-codon, and T loops). Further hydrogen bonds mediate the characteristic L-shaped molecular structure. tRNAs have two regions of fundamental functional importance: the anti-codon, which is responsible for specific mRNA codon recognition, and the 3' end, to which the tRNAs corresponding amino acid is attached (by aminoacyl-tRNA synthetases). tRNAs cope with the degeneracy of the genetic code in two manners: having more than one tRNA (with a specific anti-codon) for a particular amino acid; and 'wobble' base-pairing, i.e. permitting non-standard base-pairing at the 3rd anti-codon position. Lineage: Bacteria; Bacillati; Bacillota; Negativicutes; Acidaminococcales; Acidaminococcaceae. The record is from Rfam.